UGGGGAAUUUUGGACAAUGGGCGAAAGCCUGAUCCAGCCAUGCCGCGUGAGUGAAGAAGGCCUUCGGGUUGUAAAGCUCUUUCGCAAGGAAAGAAAACUUAUCUAUUAAUACUAGGUGAGGUUGACGGUACCUUGAUAAGAAGCACCGGCUACCUACGUGCCAGCAGCCGCGGUAAUACGUAGGGUGCGAGCGUUAAUCGGAAUUACUGGGCGUAAAGCGUGCGCAGGCGGUUUUGUAAGUCAGAUGUGAAAUCCCCGGGCUCAACCUGGGAACUGCGUUUGAAACUACAAGGCUAGAGUGUAGAAGAGGGGGGUAGAAUUCCACGUGUAGCAGUGAAAUGCGUAGAGAUGUGGAGGAAUACCGAUGGCGAAGGCAGCCCCCUGGGCUAACACUGACGCUCAUGCACGAAAGCGUGGGGAGCAAA
Molecule: ribosomal RNA, 425 nt
Filed under: uncultured bacterium
Lineage: Bacteria
Description: bacterial SSU rRNA
Rfam family: Bacterial small subunit ribosomal RNA
Source: RNAcentral